Molecule: long non-coding RNA, 9278 nt
Filed under: Daucus carota (carrot)
Lineage: Eukaryota; Viridiplantae; Streptophyta; Magnoliopsida; Apiales; Apiaceae
Description: long non-coding RNA (DCAR_LNC005700)
Source: RNAcentral
UUUAGUAGAACACACUUUUUAGGAGAACUUUUUUAAUUUUUUUGUUUAUUAUUUUAAAAUCCACCUGUUCUGUUAUCAUGAUAAGACACAAAUCCGAGUGUGCGGCCACUGAGACAGCAGAAAACAUAUGGAUGCAAAAAUUUGAAACGUGUUUAGCAAGUUUUAAAAAUCAGCUAUUGAAAUAAAAUUCAAUUCUUCCCAAUCUCGAGAUUCGGAGUGGCUCAGCUUGGCUAUAUAAACAGCAGUGGACAAGGCAAAGAUUAUUCAUACUCUCAUAAAAAAGAUAACAUUUGUCUACUCUUCAAAAAUUUACAAACUAGUCCCUAAGUUUGAGCAACAUGCCUUCACCACCCCACCACCACAACCAUCCCCAGUCCCACCCCCACCCUGCACCACCAGUGGUGGUUGUCGCUCCUCACCCAGCACCCCACCACCAUGCCCCUGUGGUGGUCGCACCGCCACCGAAAGUCGUGGUUGCGCAUCCACCCGCUCACCAUGACCACAAGCACAAGCACUGAAUUACACCAGGCGCAUGAGCUUAUAUUUUCUGUCAUCUAAUAAAAUAUGUACAAGUACUGUACGUGUUCUCUGUUUGCUCUAUAAUCUUGUAAGGUAAACCUAUGUAUUAGAAAUAAAAUCGUUGACAAGUAAUUUGUUGUAUUGGUCGUGCUGUGCUUGGAUCAAACAACUGAUGAAUAUAUGGAUGUCCUAUUAAAGUAGGUUUCUUGGAUCAAACAACUGCUCUAUUCUCUCUUCUUCCAUUUUUCUUAGUCUUUGGAUGAAAAAUAUAAGUCUCGUAAUCCAGAUGCAAGUUAAUUAGAAGAAUUUACCAAAUAUAUUAAUCUCGUCUUCUUUUCUUUGAGUAAUCUGUCCAUCCGGGUAUUUUUCCAUUUAAUAAUAAACUAGAUUUCAACUUCUUAAACUGUAUUUCGAAAUCCUUAAAAAACACACGGAAUACUAAGGCAUAAGUACAGUUAUCCGAUGAUAUUACACACAUGACACACUGGACAUAAGACAGUUGACAAGAAACUUGGGACACACUUAGGCAUAAAAUAGUUGACAAGAAACUUAGCCCGAUCAUGUUAGCAGUGUUGUAUUCGGCGAGUUACGGAACUGUGAUGAAUCGUGAUUAAUCACCGACUUUUAGAACAGAGCCUGCUAGUAACUGAAUCUCGGUUUAAUUACAUCAUUUUCUUUAAGAUAGAAGCUAGCCCCCCCCCCCCCCCCCCCCCCCCCNCCCCCCCCCCCCCCCCCCCCCAAACAUUGGAAAAAAACUUUGGUAAAAUCAACCAAAAUCAAGACGUCUUUAAACUUUGGUAUUGAAAUAGUUCCUCUUCGUACACGUUAAAUUAAAUGCAACCUAAAUGUAACUAAGAAUAAAUUCAAAUUUCUUACCGAAAAAAUGAAAAAGAAUUAUAAUAAUGGCGAACAUAGUUUUGCAAAUAUAUUAUUCAGACCAUAAUUAAAUGGCUUUUAUCACAAUAUUUGAUAAAAACUGUUCUGCAAAUUUUAUAGGUAUAUAUUAAAAUCAUCAAAACAAAAUUAAAAUUAGAUUAAUCAAAGAGCUUAUAUUAAGUUUUGAUGUUUGUACGUUAAUUUAGUUUAUAUACGAGUACUUGCCUAUGUAUACAUGUACGCCACUAAUCAAAUAAAUACUCUAACCCUAAACCUCAUCUGCCCCAUUUUCACUAUUACCUGCCCCAUCUUGUAUCCUACUCUAUCUUUAUCCAACCCCCAGCUCUCAACUACAACCUUCUUUCGCUGCCCGUCAUCUGUUUCCCACACCACCAACCCCUUGCCCCGAUCUUCCUUUUCAACAACUCCAAUCUCUUGUUUGUGCACUUUUGAUUACACAUAGCCCCGAUCUUCCUUUCUGACAAUCUCCAAUCUUGUUAGCCCAUUUAUUAUCACCCCUAAUAAUUGUUGUGAGUAAAUUCCGGCAUCAUUCUUCAUUAAAAGUGACGAUGAAGAUGAAAUAGAAAAGGAUGAAAUAAUGGUGUGUAUACGUAUAUAAUAACUCUAUAUCAAGUUUCACUGAAUUCUUUAUAUCAUUUAGUGAUAUAUAUUAGUGAUUUUUGUAAUAUAAUUAGUGAUUGAAGUUUGAAUCUAGCAAUUUUAAGAAAUAUGUCAAGGAAGUGAUUUUAUGUAAAUUAAUGAUUGUAGUGGUUAUUGAUCAGGGUGGUGAUGAUCGAAGAUCAAUUUAUAUAUUAUGUAUUUAUUUUUAUAAUAAACUCGAACAGUCACUAAAUAUUAUUAUCAAAUAUUAUUGUUAUAAUUAUUGUUUUCUAGUUUUUCGUGCAAAAGAGUUUUUCAUGGAGUAAAUAUAUUAUGUUAUAAUAUAAUUUAUAUAUUAUUUUAUAAUUAUCAUCUUUCUUCUUCAUCUUAAAGUCAAUAGCCUCCAUCAUGUUGCACCUCUGUUUAGAUCUGGUUAAUUUUUGUUCUUAAACAUAGUUGAAGAAGAUGAUGUCAAUUAUAAUGGAUUGUCCUGCAACUACAAUGGAUUAUGCUGCUAUCAUCGUCUUGCAUUUUCAUUGUAUAGAUAUGUACAAUAUGUAAUGGGGUGCAAAACAAUUCAUUGUAAUUGCCAUCAUGCUCUUCAACUAUGCUUAAGAACAAAAAUUAACUAGAUCCAAUAAAGGUGCAACACGAUGGAGGUUGUUGACUUCAAGAUGGCAUAGAAAAAUGGUAAUCGAUGAUGAACGAAGUGGGCAAACAAUUACAUAAAUGUGCAGAACAAUUGCAUAGCACUAAGAGAUACAUAAAACACAAUACCAUAAUUGAAGCCUGUGAUUAUAGCUGAUGGUCCGUAUUUUAUACUGUAUAUCAAACAUUCACUCACUAAAUAUAAUUAAAAAAUAAUAAUAAAAGAAAAAUAAUAAAGACCGUUAGAUUAAAUAUAAUGAAUGACUAAGAUGUUGGUCUCCAAUACUAAAAUAAAAAUGUGGUCCAUAAGGAACUUUACUCAAUUAUUAUAAAUACAUUACAACAAUAUAAAUUUCAAAGUUUUCUUACUCAGCUUCACUGUAAUUUUAGUAUCCCAUGAAUUUAAUAAUUAUCAUUUUAAUUCUUUCACAUAUAUUAAAAUAUAGAAAGUAUAUUUUAAUUUUUAAUUUUCAAAUUUUGUUAUUUCAAUUUAUUCGAAUAUGUGAUUUUUUUCCAAAAAAUAUUAUUAAAAUAUAUACUUCAUGUAUUAACAAGUAGAGCGAAAAGAAAAGUAAACAGAAAACCUAUUAUUGAUAGGGUUUUGCUUGUGGGCACAACAAUAAGUAAGGAUUACGACGCGUAGACAUGGACCUUGACUGGUAGCUACGUCGAGGAAUAGAAGCAACACUAUAAACACCCCGUGACAGGUACGCCAUUUUAUUCAUCACCAUCCAUUUGUCCAAACCGACUUCUCGAAAUUAAUAUACCAGUACUAUGAUUCGGAUCAUAUUUUGUUGGACUAGUUUUCAUUUUGAAGUUAUCUUCUGACAGAUAAAUAUCUUGCCUGGUUUAAUUUGAUUUUUUAAGAACAUCUCUGAGAGCAAGUAAAUGAACAAGUCUUUUAUUAAAAAUAAUUUUUCAAUUAUCUUAAUAUAGUAGUUUAUUUUUAAUAUUAAUAUUCAUAAGUAUAUAGUAUAUUUUAUAAAAUACAGUAAUCUUUUAUGUCCUGAAUGGCCUUUAGCCAAACUCCACCAAAGUCAAACUUUUCUAGCUAUAAAAUAAUGGCCCUAGCUAAUAAAUAUUUUUAGGUAAGAUAGAAAGCAAUAGCUAUUAAUAUUAUUAAAUGUUGUCGACAAAACGUUAAAGUCCGUCUUCAUCAAGGAAUUGUAAAUAACUGUGAAUCGAUUUUAUCCCGUAAAACUAAUGCUUUACCAGUAAAGUAAAAUGCAAAAUAUGUAUACAAUACAUGUAAAAUAUUUGAUAAAUUUCUAUGUGAAUGAAUUCAUAUUAUAUAGUACUCCCUCCGUCCCUCUGAGUUGUUUACCUCUACACUGUUUGCACACAUUUUGAGUCUCCUAUAAAAUAAAGCCGCAUAAUUUUUUUUAAAACUUUUUUUUUUUGAAUAAAAGUUUAAACAUCAAAAUUUUAUUCAGAGAAAAAAAAUUUAAAAAAUAUAUUAUAAAACUACACUUUAAAUUGAGCGUGGAAAAACAUGCCGAAAAGUAUCAUAAAGAAAUGAGAAGGACAGAGGGAGUAUAAGAUAAAAUUUAUAUUACAAUAAAACAGUAGCUGCUGAUGAUUAGCCUAUAUAUUCAUGAAUAAAUAUGACAUUUAAAAUACAUAAAGCCAAGAGAACCGGGAAACGCUAGAUUCGGGUGCCUUAAUUAGAUGAAUUUUGAAAAUGAUGUCUUUUUUUUACAAUCGUAAAAUAAAAAUUUACAUACAUUCAAUCAAUAUAUAAUAUACAAUGACAUAAUCUAAAAUAUUGUUUUAAGAUUGAAAACACCAUCAAUUCAAAUGUUCGAACUUUAGUGAAAAGAGAAAAAUGAACUCACGCGUGUAUAUAAGGCGUGAGUAUUGGAUUUCAACUACUCCUAUAUCUUUGUAUCUUAAAUAUAAGUAUUAAACAACUCCAUCACAUUAUAGUGAUAAAAAGAUUUAUUUUUAAUAUAAAUAAAUAAAACAACUCCAUUAUUACGUGGCUUUGAACGAGGAGCCAAAAAAUAUGCUCGCUGGACGACGAGCAGAGGAAAAUAUCCCCGUUGCCUUCGGUGACGAUUCAAAUAUGGAGCUACUUUUUGUUUUCUAUUCAUAAGAUUCAGUUUUUUCCUACUAAAAGAUAUUGUGAUGGUAUAAGCCAUACCCAUUAGAAAAGAAAAAGUAGCUCCAUCCAAUACUGGAGAGUAUGUUUUCUCGUAAUUAAAUAUUGAGAAAAUUAGGCUAAUAAUCGAGCCAUAUAUCUCAUAAUUCCUUUUUCAUACAAAUACCCAUAUAUUCCUAAUUAAUAUGAACAACACCAGAUGGUGUUUAGACUAGAGGCCCAGACACAUUUCUCUUGGUAAAGGAUUGCAAUUUUUCCUUGAUUGCAUUUUCCCUUUUGGCCAAUUUUAUAUUUGUCGAAACUCUUCAAUAUUUGAUAGUUCAAGAUUAGAGCUCAUAAAAAUAUGACAUGUCAAGGAAAAGUACACAUCAUCAAUCUCAGUACACUUAGGAUCCAAAAAAAAAAUUUAUGUGCAUAACUCAAAUUUGUCACUUCAGGGGAAAUAUCCUCUUCUAGAGGUAAUACAACUUAUUAGAGGUAAUACUACUUAUUAUGAUUAUGUUCUAAACACUUUAUGGGCUCAAACCUCUUCAUGUGGUGAUACCACUUCCACGAUAUUUCUUGGAAUGUGGGUAUAGCGGUUAACACACUUCCAGUAUGAAUAUAAAUCGAUUAUCAAUUCUUCUGGAAUUGAUUUAUUAGUAGGGAUUUCAAUCCUUACCGGAGCUUUAACAACAAGUACAUGUGUACAUGUCUAGAAUCACUAAAAAUAUUUGAUAUUUAAUUAGCAAUAUUUAGCAUAUGAAUAGUUCUAUUACCUCAAAUUCACAUUAGUUUGUGGGUCAACAGCAGUAGGCCUGAUGCAUGCCAUAAUAUUUUAGAAUUUUAUAUUUAUUAAAAUUUAUUUCACCCUAAGAAAGGAAGACAGAUUCAUAAAAUUGAAAAUAGACAUAUUGAGUAGUAUAACAUCACCAAUAUAUUGUCCAUGAUAUCUUAUAAUAGACGUAGAAUAGAAAACAACAUAUAUACCAGUUACAUCCCAAUUUAAUUCUUAAUGGUGUUAAUAUUGAACAUAUGCCUCACAACUAACAUAUAUUUCAGUGACAUACAAUGAGAGAAAAUUGGGCUCAUAAUUUAUUGAUUUGAGCAAGUAAUUUGGUAAAUGUUAUAUUUUGGGUUGUAAGUAAACAUACAUGGGGACCACCUGAAUGAGGCGUCAAUUAACACCAUAAAAAUACCUAAAUGGGCCGAAGAUAGGUUGAUUGGACCAUAAAUGUCACUUUGAAUUCUUUCUAAGAAAUUUAGAGACUCGAUUUAAUGUUUGACUGAGAAUGGUCGGGCAAUCGAUUUUUUCAAAAAAAUUGCGAACAAUAAAGUUCAACUCUGGGUAUUAAUCUUAUAUUUUUAAGAGGAUAACUCAAUUCAAUUUUAUGUAAUAUGAUGCAUCACAUGUGCUCAUAUAUAUAUGAUCGAGUCUUUUGAAACCAAUUUUAAAGUAUAAACUAGAAAGUAGAAUAAAAAAUUAAAAUAAGUAGACGCCAAAAAACAUCUUUUCAUUUUACAAUUCAAUGUCCAUCCCCUCUAUCAUUUGCAUAAAAUUUCGGUGAUUCUGAUCACAGUUUAGAGAAUUUAGUGUUAUUGAUGAUGUAAUAGUUAUAUAUGAUGCGCUGGCGGUGGUAUAGUAGUGACCGUGAAGUGGUAAUUGAUGUUGGUCGUUAUGAUAUUGAAUUUAGUGAUAUUAGUGUCGUGGUUAUGAUAUUUAAAUUUUAGUGAAUGACAAUGAUGAUAUAUUGGUGUUGUUAUAUAUAAAUACAAAAUAAUGAUUCUUGUAAUAAAUUUUAGGGAUUAUUGUAAUAUUAUUUAGAUAUUAGAGUUUAAAUAUGGUAACUCAUGUUCAUGUGUCAUGAUUAAAUUUCAGAUUUUAUAAUUUUUGUUGGAAGUAAUUUAUGUUGUAGAUGGUGGUUAGUGGAUAGAAAUGACGAUAACAAUAACGGAGUCAAGACGAGUUAAUUAUUCUGAUAAUUAUGGUGGAUGGAGGUCAGAUUGGAGAUGGUGACUAUAAUCGAGCUAAUUAUUGAUAUCAAUGAUAGAGAAAGAGGAUGAAGACUUUGAAAUAGUGGGAUAUAGAUACAAAUAUUUUUUUUAAUGAUAGUGAUUAUUUUCUAAUUUUUAUCUUUACAGGGUUUGUAGUGUAGUAAGACUCCAUAUUUGUAUAUUUAUAUAUAAAGAGGCAAGUGCUUAAAUGAGAACAAUGCUUAUGUGAAAUAGGGAUCUAAUCUCAACCACACAAAUUUGAAGCUGCUUUUAAUCUUAUCCAAUUAUUUAAAUCUUAUCAUCUCCAUCUCUAACAAUCACCAUCUUCUUACCCCUUACCAUUUCCACCAUAACUUUCGGCCACACCCACGGCCCACUUUCGCCUCGCUAGCAACCUCUCACCAUAUAAUCAUUAAUGUUGGCUAUUCUUCCCUCACCAUCCUCUUUAUAUCCCCUUCAUUUUAUCUCACCGGCAAGUCAUUGUCCUUGACCAUCAUUGAAGUUUGGCAUCCGCUUCAAUCUACCUCUCCUCUCCGCCAACCACAUCUCCGUUGUGGUGACCAUACUGAUGAAAAACUGCUGCUCAGCUCUAGGAAAUUUAGUACAUCCAGAUCUACACUAUUAUUAUUACGCGCUUAUAUUUGGAGAAAAUCUGUUGUGGUUAAGUAUUAUUUUGUGGUAAUUUAUGUUAGUUUUUCAUUUUUUAUUACUCUCAUCUAGUGACUAUACAAAUAUAUGGUUUGGUUGUUUUAGAUGGUGGUGGUUUCCGGUAUGAUGAUGAUUGAUGGGUGAUGGUGGAUUUUGUGUGCAUAUGGUGAUUUUAGGUCAGAUCUUGUAAUUUUGCACUAUCGUGAUGAUACGGAGGGGUGGGUGGUGGUGGUGGACGAUGUACUUGGGAGGAAGUGGCUAUAUGAUAGUAGGAAUUGUGUUGAUUCUAUUGAAAUCGAGUGAUUUUCUUAUGAAGAUAAUGGUGAUUUUUUGUUGCCAAUUAUCGAAUGUUGUGGUUAGAUCUCAUAUAUCAAAAUAGAGCCAACGUGUUUCAAAACUCAUCCUUACACGCUUGCACCCUCUUAUGUAUUUGUUCACAUUUUAUUCUAAAUUAAAAAAUAGUCAACUAGAUACUAUUUUAAAAUCUAAAUACUUUUUUCCUGUUUCAAGUUAAAAAAUCGUCAAACAAGUAUUAUUUUGAAAUCUAAAUACUUUUUCUUAAGACAAACCUUGUGUGACAACUGAUAUAGUAAAUAGUAAUAUAUCAAUACAUAUAAAUAUAAAUUUAUGUAAUAACGACUCAUAGAUUAUAUUAAAAUAAUUGGAUAAAACUCAACUCUGUAAACUGCAAUUUUGACUCCCAAGUGGUUCGCAUGUAUAUAUAUACACACACAUGAGAGUACACAGCAAGGAUUAUUACUUGUACGCCAGAAAAAAAUAAAUUUUCCUCUAUAUUCCAAAAUUUAGAAGCUUUUCCUUAAGUUUCAGGAGUCAUGCCUUCACCACCUCACCACAACCAUCCCCAAUCCCACCCAAAUCCCGCACCACCGGUGGCUGUUGUCGCUCCUCACUCAGGACCCAACCACCAGGCUCCUGCGCCACCGAAAGUCGUGGUUGUGAAUCCUCCUACUCACCAUGACAACCACAAACAUUAAACUUGGCGGAUGAUGAUGUUAUAUAUAAUGCGGUGCUACUUGUUGCAGCUGCUUAUAAUCACUUUGCUCUAAUAAAUUUUGUUGAAAUACUCUACGUGAUUUAUGUUUUUCUAUAUGUAUUCUGGUCCAAGUCGACGAUCUUGUAAGGUAAACCUAUGUGUUAUAAAUAAACUCCUUGACGAGUAAUUUAUUGUAUUGUUCGUGCGGUUCUUGGAUCAAGUAUAUUGUCUUUCUUGCAUCAAACAACUACUGUAUUUAUAUAUAGUACUGUUCUAUGAAAGUGGGGUUUAAAUUUCUAUUUAUAUAUUGUUUUAUUUUUUUUAUGGGAACGAUUAGAGAUCUUUAAUCCCGUCUAUUUGUAAAAACUAUCUGCGGAGCACAGGAAAACUGACAAAAGAUGAGUGGCAUAUAUAUGGUUAAUAACUCAUAUAUUUGUAGCAGGUCGAUUUUACAUGUUCUGAAAGGUUAUAAAUCGUUAAUAUUUUGUUGUUUUCAUUGAUUUAUCUGACCAUCUGAGGGUUUUUGCUAUAAAAAAUUCUGAUUUCAACUUUGUUAAACUGUAUUUCAGAUCCUAAGAAAACCAAACUAACCAAUGCUGCGAAACCAUGCACAGCUAUCCAAUGAUAUUCACGCACAUGACACAGUUCACUUAAGAUUAUUGACAGAAAACUUUAGGCGCUCUUUUGCAAUAUUUUCUAGUUUGUUAAAUUUUCCCCAAAACUAUUUGAGAAGUUUAAAUAAAAAUGAUUUUUAAAAAUGUUAGAGGAUCAUAUGAUAUGCUCUUAUUCGAUCGAUUAUAAACUAUCCCAUUAAGAAAUAUCUAAUACGUUACUAGCUCAAAUUCGGUUUGAAUCCUGGUCUCAAAUAUUCGGGAUCAAUUUAUAUCCUGAUAAAAUCAUCUCGGAUCCAAAUCUGAA